RNAcentral lists this ribosomal RNA (468 nucleotides) under uncultured bacterium. RNAcentral describes it as "partial 16S ribosomal RNA". It matches the Rfam family "Bacterial small subunit ribosomal RNA", at positions 28 to 507 of the family's 1533-position model. The record is from RNAcentral.
GACGAACGCUGGCGGCGUGCUUAACACAUGCAAGUCGAACGGAAAGGCCCUGCUUUUGUGGGGUGCUCGAGUGGCGAACGGGUGAGUAACACGUGAGUAACCUGCCCUUGACUUUGGGAUAACUUCAGGAAACUGGGGCUAAUAACGGAUAGGAGCUCCUGCUGCAUGGUGUGGGUUGGAAAGUUUCGGCGGUUGGGGAUGGACUCGCGGCUUAUCAGCUUGUUGGUGGGGUAGUGGCUUACCACGGCUUUGACGGGUAGCCGGCCUGAGAGGGUGACCGGCGACAUUGGGACUGAGAUACGGCCCAGACUCCUACGGGAGGCAGCAGUGGGGAAUAUUGCACAAUGGGCGGAAGCCUGAUGCAGCAACGCCGCGUGCGGGAUGACGGCCUUCGGGUUGUAAACCGCUUUCGCCUGUGACGAAGCGUGAGUGACGGUAAUGGGUAAAGAAGCACCGGCUAACUACGUG